CAGUAGGGAAUCUUCCGCAAUGGACGAAAGUCUGACGGAGCAACGCCGCGUGAACGAUGAAGGUCUUCGGAUCGUAAAGUUCUGUUGUUAGGGAAGAACAAGUACCGUGCGAAUAGAGCGGUACCUUGACGGUACCUAACGAGGAAGCCCCGGCUAACUACGUGCCAGCAGCCGCGGUAAUACGUAGGGGGCAAGCGUUGUCCGGAAUUAUUGGGCGUAAAGCGCGCGCAGGCGGUUCCUUAAGUCUGACGUGAAAGCCCACGGCUCAACCGUGGAGGGUCAUUGGAAACUGGGGAACUUGAGGACAGAAGAGGAGAGUGGAAUUCCACGUGUAGCGGUGAAAUGCGUAGAUAUGUGGAGGAACACCAG
RNAcentral lists this ribosomal RNA (369 nucleotides) under uncultured Halobacillus sp. Its description in RNAcentral is "bacterial SSU rRNA". It matches the Rfam family "Bacterial small subunit ribosomal RNA", at positions 352 to 712 of the family's 1533-position model. Lineage: Bacteria; Bacillati; Bacillota; Bacilli; Caryophanales; Bacillaceae. The record is from RNAcentral.